RNAcentral lists this ribosomal RNA (501 nucleotides) under uncultured bacterium. Its description in RNAcentral is "partial 16S ribosomal RNA". It matches the Rfam family "Bacterial small subunit ribosomal RNA", at positions 30 to 523 of the family's 1533-position model. The record is from RNAcentral.
AUUGAACGCUGGCGGCAGGCUUAACACAUGCAAGUCGAGCGGGGUGAUGGUGCUUGCACUAUCACUUAGCGGCGGACGGGUGAGUAAUGCUUAGGAAUCUGCCUAUUAGUGGGGGACAACAUCUCGAAAGGGAUGCUAAUACCGCAUACGUCCUACGGGAGAAAGCAGGGGAUCUGUAUGACCUUGCGCUAAUAGAUGAGCCUAAGUCGGAUUAGCUAGUUGGUGGGGUAAAGGCCUACCAAGGCGACGAUCUGUAGCGGGUCUGAGAGGAUGAUCCGCCACACUGGGACUGAGACACGGCCCAGACUCCUACGGAGGCAGCAGUGGGGAAUAUUGGACAAUGGGGGGAACCCUGAUCCAGCCAUGCCGCGUGUGUGAAGAAGGCCUUAUGGUUGUAAAGCACUUUAAGCGAGGAGGAGGCUCUUUUGGUUAAUACCCAGAAUGAGUGGACGUUACUCGCAGAAUAAGCACCGGCUAACUCUGUGCCAGCCGCCGCCGUAA